Molecule: ribosomal RNA, 395 nt
Filed under: uncultured bacterium
Lineage: Bacteria
Description: bacterial SSU rRNA
Rfam family: Bacterial small subunit ribosomal RNA
Source: RNAcentral
GUGUCAGCCGCCGCGGUAAUACGUAGGUGGCAAGCGUUGUCCGGAAUUAUUGGGCGUAAAGCGCGCGCAGGCGGUCCUUUAAGUCUGAUGUGAAAGCCCACGGCUCAACCGUGGAGGGUCAUUGGAAACUGGGGGACUUGAGUGCAGGAGAGAAGAGUGGAAUUCCACGUGUAGCGGUGAAAUGCGUAGAGAUGUGGAGGAACACCAGUGGCGAAGGCGACUCUUUGGCCUGUAACUGACGCUGAGGCGCGAAAGCGUGGGGAGCAAACAGGAUUAGAUACCCUGGUAGUCCACGCCGUAAACGAUGAGUGCUAAGUGUUAGAGGGUUUCCGCCCUUUAGUGCUGCAGUAAACGCAUUAAGCACUCCGCCUGGGGAGUACGGCCGCAAGGCUGAA